Long non-coding RNA from Canis lupus familiaris (dog), 479 nucleotides. RefSeq lists it as uncharacterized. The transcript is spliced from 2 exons. Lineage: Eukaryota; Metazoa; Chordata; Mammalia; Carnivora; Canidae. The record is from RefSeq and is a predicted model, not a curated record.
ACAAAAAGUGAGGUCUAAAGCACAUUCAUCCACGGCCUGGGUUUUUGGCCCAAACUCAAGACUCUUAUAGGACAAACAAAAAUGAAAUCCAAAAUGUUAUCACCCUCGCCUUUAGAAGUCAAAUGGACUUAAAGGAGCUCGUACUGCCUACGUUUGACGGUCCAGUCAAAUGAUGACGUGACAAACAGGUGUGAGAAGUCGAUUGGGCCCACAGCCAUAUGGCAGUUAAUUCCAGUCACCGGCCCCUGGUGACCUUCGAAGACCUCCCCAAUACCUGCUUUGCUGCAUGAAGACCACACAGGAGCAGAAUUUCAGUGACCUUUGCAAAGCAGCGACUGCUUUUAAAGAAAACAAACCCGUCUCUGCAUGAUUACAUCUCGGUAAUUUAGAAGAACCACCAUGAACUACCAAAAAUGAAACCACUUUCACAGUUAUCUUGAGAGAAAUAAAAUGCUAGACUGGUUUUGAUGAUUAAAAAA